CUACGGGAGGCAGCAGUCGAGGAAAUUUUACAAUGCUCGAAAGAGUGAUAAAAUAAGCCAGAGUGUUUCUCCUAGAGAAACUUUUAUCUGUUGUAAAAAGACAGAUGAAUAAGGACUGGGCAAGACCGGGUGCCAGCCGCCGCGGUAAUACCGGCGGUCCAAGUUGCAUCCACAUUUAUUGGGUCUAAAACAUUCGUAGCUUGUUUUACAAGUCUCUUGUGAAAUCCUAUAUCUCAAGUAUAGGGCGUGCAAGAGAUACUGUAUUACUAGAGACCGGAAGACGCAAAAAGUAUGGUUGAGGUAGCGGUAAAAUGUGUUAAUCUCAAUUAGACUAACAAUGGCGAAGGCAUUUUGCGAGUACGGAUCUGACAGUGAGGGAUGAAGGCUAGGGGCGCAAAACGGAUUAGAUACCCGAGUAGUC
RNAcentral lists this ribosomal RNA (421 nucleotides) under uncultured archaeon. Its description in RNAcentral is "partial 16S ribosomal RNA". It matches the Rfam family "Archaeal small subunit ribosomal RNA", at positions 323 to 746 of the family's 1478-position model. The record is from RNAcentral.